This 492-nucleotide ribosomal RNA is filed under the name uncultured bacterium. RNAcentral's name for it is "partial 16S ribosomal RNA". It matches the Rfam family "Bacterial small subunit ribosomal RNA", at positions 28 to 507 of the family's 1533-position model. The record is from RNAcentral.
GAUGAACGCUAGCUACAGGCUUAACACAUGCAAGUCGAGGGGAAACGACAUCGAAAGCUUGCUUUUGAUGGGCGUCGACCGGCGCACGGGUGAGUAACGCGUAUCCAACCUGCCCAUCACUUGGGAAUAACCUUGCGAAAGUAAGACUAAUACCCAAUGAUAUCCCACGUAGGCAUCGGAAUGGGAUUAAAGAUUUAUCGGUGAUGGAUGGGGAUGCGUCUGAUUAGCUUGUUGGCGGGGUAACGGCCCACCAAGGCAACGAUCAGUAGGGGUUCUGAGAGGAAGGUCCCCCACAUUGGAACUGAGACAAGGUCCAAACUCCUACGGGAGGCAGCAGUGAGGAAGAGUGGUCAAUGAGCGAGAGCCUGAACCAGCCAAGUAGCGUGCAGGAAGACGGGCCUAUGGGUUGUAAACUGCUUUUAUAAGGGAAUAAAGUGGGUCACGUGUGACUUUUUGCAUGUACCUUAUGAAUAAGGACCGGCUAAUUCCGUG